Molecule: ribosomal RNA, 1229 nt
Filed under: metagenome
Description: bacterial LSU rRNA
Rfam family: Bacterial large subunit ribosomal RNA
Source: RNAcentral
UAGAACCGUGGUUAAGGAACUCGGCAAAUUGACACCGUAACUUCGGGAUAAGGUGUGCCACUGAGGGUGAAGAGCCUUGCGCUUGUAAGCCUUCGGGGGUUGCAACAAAGAGGCGGUAGCGACUGUUUACCAAAAACACAGGCCUGUGCGAAGCCGUAAGGCGACGUAUACGGGUUGACGCCUGCCCGGUGCCGGAAGGUUAAGGGGAGUGGUCAGCGAAAGCGAAGCUGCGAACCGAAGCCCCGGUAAACGGCGGCCGUAACAAUAACGGUCCUAAGGUAGCGAAAUUCCUUGUCGGGUAAGUUCCGACCUGCACGAAUGGCGUAACGACUUCCGCGCUGUCUCGAUCACGGUCUCAGCGAAAUUGACAUUGGGGUGAAGAUGCCCCAUACCCGCAGCAAGACGGAAAGACCCUGUGAACCUUUACUCUAACUUGGCAGCGACAUUCGGUUCAGCUUGUGUAGGAUAGGUGGGAGACGAUGAAGCGGGGGCGCCAGCCUUCGUGGAGUCAACGUUGAAAUACCACCCUGGUUGUGCUGGAUGUCUAACCCGGCCCUUGUGGCGGGGACACUGCCUGGCGGGGAGUUUGACUGGGGCGGUCGCCUCCCAAACAGUAACGGAGGCGCGCAAAGAUUCCCUCAGCGUGAUCGGAAACCACGCGCAGAGUGCAAAGGCAGAAGGGAGUUUGACUGCAAGAUCGACAGAUCGAGCAGGUGCGAAAGCAGGCCUUAGUGAUCCGGCGGUCCCACAUGGGAGGGCCGUCGCUCAUCGGAUAAAAGGUACUCCGGGGAUAACAGGCUUAUCACGCCCAAGAGUUCACAUCGACGGCGUGGUUUGGCACCUCGAUGUCGGCUCAUCGCAUCCUGGGGCUGGAGCAGGUCCCAAGGGUUUGGCUGUUCGCCAAUUAAAGCGGUACGCGAGCUGGGUUCAAAACGUCGUGAGACAGUUUGGUCCCUAUCUGCUGUGGGCGCAGGAGAGUUGAGAGACGCUGUCCUUAGUACGAGAGGACCGGGAUGGACGUUCCUCUGGUGUUCCGGUUGUCGCGCCAGCGGCAUAGCCGGAUAACCAUGAACGGAAGGGAUAACCGCUGAAAGCAUCUAAGUGGGAAGCCCAUCUCCAGAUAAACUCUCCCUUGAGGGCCCAGAAAGACCAUCUGGUUGAUAGGCGGGGCGUAUAAACGCAGCAAUGCGUGCGCGGACCCGUACUAAUCGCCCGAACGACUUGACCCU